CUGGUUAUUCUGAGUAAGGCUCUGUCCAUCUCGAGACUGGUUGUACGUUCUUUUGGUUCGCUGUCUGCCUUGGGCUUCCAGGGAUCUUCCACUGUCACAGCUCGUUCAUUUCAAACUUCUGGAUUGAGUGGUCGUAUUACUGGGGAUAACUUGCCUCAUGCAGAAUGUUUUAGCGUUUCCAAGGGUGGCCCAUCUUUCCUUAGUUUUCGGAGGUUUUCAACUACAAUUUUGGCUCCUGAUCCGAACAGUGGUGCUUUUCCAUCAGAUUUACUGUCUUCAAAGACCAUAAUAACACCAGAGCGUACUAUUGGCACCAUGUUCAACCCCACUACUCCACUACUAGCCCACUAUCAAUGACCACACCAUCCACAAACAACCACCAUCUAAAAAGGGGGAACUUUCCCUUGCAGUGCGGCGUACGCAUGUUUACCCCUCUGCCUAUAUAAUUAAUAAUAUAAGCUUUUUGCUGGGGGAGCAUGAACUCCAAUCAUACUCAUAUGAGCGAGUUAGAGAAACUCGAAUGCGAGGGAUUCAGACCCUACUGUGUGUUUCCACACCCCUUGGAGUUGUCGAACUGGGGUCUUCAGAGAUGAUCGGUCUGAAGACUGGGGCCACUCGAAGGGUGCUGGCCAGCCACGAGUUUAGCACCAAGUCUUUGAGAGACUUCGUGGUGAAAAC
Molecule: long non-coding RNA, 678 nt
Organism: Hibiscus syriacus
Lineage: Eukaryota; Viridiplantae; Streptophyta; Magnoliopsida; Malvales; Malvaceae
Exons: 4
Source: RefSeq, a predicted model, not a curated record